This 1511-nucleotide ribosomal RNA is filed under the name metagenome. RNAcentral's name for it is "bacterial SSU rRNA". It matches the Rfam family "Bacterial small subunit ribosomal RNA". The record is from RNAcentral.
AGAGUUUGGAUCCUGGCUCAGGAUGAACGCUAGCUACAGGCUUAACACAUGCAAGUCGAGGGGAAACGAUAUUGGAAGCUUGCUUCCGAUAGGCGUCGACCGGCGCACGGGUGAGUAACGCGUAUCCAACCUGCCCACCACUUGGGGAUAACCUUGCGAAAGUAAGACUAAUACCCAAUGAUAUCUCUAGAAGACAUCUGAAAGAGAUUAAAGAUUUAUCGGUGAUGGAUGGGGAUGCGUCUGAUUAGCUAGUUGGUGGGGUAACGGCCUACCAAGGCGAUGAUCAGUAGCCGGUCUGAGAGGAUGAACGGCCACAUUGGGACUGAGACACGGCCCAGACUCCUACGGGAGGCAGCAGUGGGGAAUCUUCCGCAAUGGGCGAAAGCCUGACGGAGCAAUGCCGCGUGAGUGAUGAAGGAAUUCGUUCCGUAAAGCUCUUUUGUUUAUGACGAAUGUGCAGAUUGUGAAUAAUGGUCUGUAAUGACGGUAGUAAACGAAUAAGCCACGGCUAACUACGUGCCAGCAGCCGCGGUAAUACGUAGGUGGCGAGCGUUGUCCGGAAUUAUUGGGCGUAAAGAGCAUGUAGGCGGUUUUUUAAGUCUGGAGUGAAAAUGCGGGGCUCAACCCCGUAUGGCUCUGGAUACUGGAAGACUUGAGUGCAGGAGAGGAAAGGGGAAUUCCCAGUGUAGCGGUGAAAUGCGUAGAUAUUGGGAGGAACACCAGUGGCGAAGGCGCCUUUCUGGACUGUGUCUGACGCUGAGAUGCGAAAGCCAGGGUAGCGAACGGGAUUAGAUACCCCGGUAGUCCUGGCAGUAAACGAUGGGUACUAGGUGUAGGAGGUAUCGACCCCUUCUGUGCCGGAGUUAACGCAAUAAGUACCCCGCCUGGGGAGUACGUCCGCAAGGAUGAAACUCAAAGGAAUUGACGGGGGCCCGCACAAGCGGUGGAGUAUGUGGUUUAAUUCGACGCAACGCGAAGAACCUUACCAAGGCUUGACAUUGAAUGACCGCUCCAGAGAUGGAGCUUUCCCUUCGGGGACAUGAAAACAGGUGGUGCAUGGCUGUCGUCAGCUCGUGUCGUGAGAUGUUGGGUUAAGUCCCGCAACGAGCGCAACCCCUAUCCUAUGUUACCAGCGGGUAAUGCCGGGGACUCAUAGGAGACUGCCAAGGACAACUUGGAGGAAGGCGGGGAUGACGUCAAGUCAUCAUGCCCCUUAUGUCUUGGGCUACACACGUACUACAAUGGUCGGCAACAGAGGGAAGCAAAGCCGUGAGGCAGAGCAAACCCCAGAAACCCGAUCCCAGUUCGGAUUGCAGGCUGCAACUCGCCUGCAUGAAGUCGGAAUCGCUAGUAAUCGCAGGUCAGCAUACUGCGGUGAAUACGUUCCCGGGCCUUGUACACACCGCCCGUCACACCACGAAAGUUGGUAACACCCGAAGCCGGUGGGGUAACCGUAAGGAGCCAGCCGUCUAAGGUGGGGCCGAUGAUUGGGGUGAAGUCGUAACAAGGUA